Gallus gallus (chicken) is the source of this 2440-nucleotide long non-coding RNA. RefSeq lists it as uncharacterized. NCBI's taxonomy places the organism in Eukaryota, Metazoa, Chordata, Aves, Galliformes, Phasianidae. The record is from RefSeq and is a predicted model, not a curated record. The transcript has 3 exons.
GGGGCCACCUCUAGCGCCGCGGCGAGGGGCAGCCAAGAUGGCGGCCGGGGGGGGCCGGUGGACGCGGUGCUGUCCGAUCCCCGUUCCCGCGCUCAACGUCGCCACCCCCCACUCGGAGGCAUGAGAACAUCAAAACUACAUGACAGCAUCACCUGGCACCAGUUAGCGCGGCUCUCCCAGAGAGCAUUGUGAUACUUCGGGUCCAGAUGGCCUCCGGGCAUGCAGAGGUUUGACAGGGAGGAAGGUCAGAGAGAGGGACAAAGAGGAAUGAAUGAGGAAGGAGUUCUGCUUGCAACUGAGAUAAGUGGUGAGAUAGGAGCUCCAGAGUCUCGUACACUUACAUAGCAUGUACUUGUGCAUGUGCACUUCCCACUCACAGUCAUACAGAGUAUUGCAUAAUAUUGGCAUCUGAAUGUAUAGAAUUAUAAACAGAAUAUAGAAUUGUUUUCAAAGACAUUUUCCCUCUGUUACAACUAUAGGACCUUUUGCCUUUCAACAUAUGUUAAGUGUGGAAUAUGAGAGCAGCCAAGCAGUCUGUGACAACUUUGUUUUGCAAAGUACUCAAAUUGGACCAGAAUGUGAAGCUUUAAGAACAUGGGAAAACAUUUCACGUAAUGCAGAACAGUAAUGUUAUAACAGAUCUUAUAUUUCAGAACCUCUCGGUACUCGUUUCUGUGUUUAUUUAAAGAAACUACUGUUAACACAUCAGAACUCAAGGAUAUUAAAUAUAUUUUAUUUUCUGCAUGAGAUCAGAAAUAAAUAAAGCAUAUCAUUUGACAUAAAAUCCCAGCUCACCCCCAAAGUACAUCUGUGCAAAAGCACAAUCCUAUCCAUAAAGCACAACAACAAAAAUCUAUAAAAUAGACAUUGCAGUAAAUGAGUUGACUGUUGAGGAGACAGUUUCACAGUAAGUAAAAUUUCAGUUACUGCAACGAGCAGUUUGACUGCCUAAUUUUUCCCUCUUUAUGUGAGAACAUAGUUUGAAAUUUAUCAGAAGGUUUUAGUGUGCAUUUUUUUCCCCCAGCAUUUUGGUACUCUUUUAGUAUGACAGACUUGUGCAAGUUCUUUUAUUUUGACCUCAGUUUUGAAGCUCUUUAUACUUAGAUUUGCACUGAAAUGGGCUUAUUAUAAUCACGUUAGGUUCCAGUCUUGCAAAGAUUUGCAUACAUGCUUAAUGUCAACUGUCUGAAUAGUCCUAUUAAGUUCAGUAGGGUGACUCUUGCACAACAUGAAGUAUGCACAGACAUCUUGGAAGAUUGAGGGCCAUAUGUUAGAGCAUAAAAACAAGUUAUCCAUCAUUUAAUUUUAAAAUAGAGCUGUGGAACUAAUAUGUUAUUUGAAAAAACAUUCUGGACUUAUCUGAAAUCCCAGAGGCACAGCUUAAUUCAAUUUCUUGGCUCUCACAGUUUUUAAACAGUACAAGUUCAAAACCAGAGGUGUCACUUCAAAUGAAAACAGCAGCCAAGACAGUUUAAACAGAGCUAGGCACAUUCAGUCAUAAUUUUCUUUAUGCAAGUAUUUAAACAUAUUUUAAGAGGGAGAAAAUUAUCAUUUGUAAUUGAGAACUGAAAAGUGACCUUUUCUUUAUUUGUUGAUUCAUUGAGCCUCAGAAUGAGUACUUUUAUAUCUGUUUUGGUUGUUGUGUGGCUGUUUUCUUCAGAACUGUCAUAAUUAUUGUCAUUGCUAAAAAGGACCUGUGCACACUAAAGGUUAAAAGCCUGAUACCGCAGAAUGAUUAGCCUCGGCUGCAGUGCAAUUCAGCUGGAUUCGCAAGUGCACUUCUUGAGAUCCUAGUUUUGUGGGGAGUAUUUAUAGUCCUGUUUAGUCGCACUGACUUCAGAGAGAUGACACAAGCACCCAGCACUGUCACCUCAGUAGUAAUUAAUGGUAUUCCUUUUUUUAUCUUAAUGGGCAAAUCAGUUUUAAAACCUUUUUUCUGCAUUGUUCUGAAGAAAGAACUAAAAUUACGGUUGAUAGUAGGAUAAUUCUAAUUUUUCUAGCCAAACUUGGCUAAAAGAAGUUAGUUCUCAUUCAACUGAAAAUUAUUAGAGGUUAAAGAUAAAUGCUAACCUUUCAAUAUUAUUUAAUAGAGCACAACCAAACAAAAGAGAAAGAAGUUAUCAAUCAGGCAAAGUGCUGUCUGAAUCAAUGGCAAAGCAGCAUUGGCUGAACAUCAUAUGAAAGGCUGUAUAAACUCAUGUAGUCAGAGGAUAACUUAGCAUGAGAGAAAUUAGACAAGACAUCCUGUAUUCCACAAUUGCUUGGAAACACUGACAUUUUUACAGCAGAGUGAUACUGAUGACAUUGAACACAGCUGCAAUUAGUGAAGGAAAUGUUCAUCCUUUGUGGGGUGAAAAUGAAUUGGUACUGGCAAUUUUCUGGUCUUUCUUCCGUGUUUUGUUUCUCUUAGUUGGUUUCUCUUAGUUGUUUUUUUUUUUUU